CGAAAGCCUGACGGAGCAGCGCCGCGUGAGGGAUGAAGGCCUCUGGGCUGUAAACCUCUUUUAUCAAGGAAGAAGAUCUGACGGUACUUGAUGAAUAAGCCACGGCUAAUUCCGUGCCAGCAGCCGCGGUAAUACGGGAGUGGCAAGCGUUAUCCGGAAUUAUUGGGCGUAAAGCGUCCGCAGGCGGCCCUUCAAGUCUGCUGUUAAAGCGUGGAGCUUAACUCCAUCAUGGCAGUGGAAACUGAUCGGCUUGAGUAUGGUAGGGGCAGAGGGAAUUCCCGGUGUAGCGGUGAAAUGCGUAGAUAUCGGGAAGAACACCAGUGGCGAAGGCGCUCUGCUGGGCCCUUACUGACGCUCAUGGACGAAAGCCAGGGGAGCGAAA
RNAcentral lists this ribosomal RNA (382 nucleotides) under uncultured cyanobacterium. RNAcentral's name for it is "bacterial SSU rRNA". It matches the Rfam family "Bacterial small subunit ribosomal RNA", at positions 376 to 773 of the family's 1533-position model. Lineage: Bacteria; Bacillati; Cyanobacteriota. The record is from RNAcentral.